This 148-nucleotide small RNA is filed under the name Macaca fascicularis (crab-eating macaque). RNAcentral's name for it is "Metazoan signal recognition particle RNA (ENSMFAG00000047523.1)". The record is from Rfam by way of RNAcentral. Lineage: Eukaryota; Metazoa; Chordata; Mammalia; Primates; Cercopithecidae.
GCUGGGCAUGGUGGCGCAUGCCUGUAAUCCCAGUUACUCGGGAGGCUGAGGCAGGAGAAUCGCUUGAACCUGGGAGGCGGAGGUUGCAGUGAGCCGAGAUCACACCACUGCACUCCAGCCUGGGUGACAGAGCAAGACUCUGUCUCAA